This 2106-nucleotide ribosomal RNA is filed under the name human gut metagenome. RNAcentral describes it as "bacterial LSU rRNA". It matches the Rfam family "Bacterial large subunit ribosomal RNA", at positions 731 to 2925 of the family's 2925-position model. The record is from RNAcentral.
UACCCAUGAUCAUGCUGAAGUGAAAGUAAAAAUUCAUGGAGGGCCGAACCGACCUCCGUUGAAAAGGCGGCGGAUGAAUUGUGGGUAGCGGAGAAAUCCAAUCGAACUCGGAGAUAGCUGGUCUCCCCGAAAUAGCUUUAGGGCUAGCCUCAUGUUAGAUAUCCGGAGGUAAAGCACUGAAUGGCCUAGCGUCCGAGAGGAUAGCGAAGCCUAUCAAACUAAGAAUGCCGGAAUAUUGAUGCAUGGGAGUCAGACAGUGUGAGAUAAAUCUCAUUGUCAAAAGGGAAACAGCCCAGAUCUACAGCUAAGGUCCCAAAUUGUAUCUAAGUGGAAAACGAUGUGGAAAUACGCAGACAACCAGGAUGUUGGCUCAGAAGCAGCCACUCAUUUAAAGAGUGCGUAAUAGCUCACUGGUCGAGCGUCUCUGCGCGGAAAAUUUAACGGGGCUAAGAUACAAACCGAAGCUUAGGCUGCACUUUUAGUGCGGGGUAGGGGAGCGUUGUGUAAGCGGAGAAACGAUAGCGUAAGCGGUCGUGGAGUUUACAGAAGUGAGAAUGCCGGAAUGAGUAGCGCGAAUGAUGUGAGAAUCAUCAUGGCCGGAAACCUCAGGUUUUUGGAGGAAGGUUCGUCCGCUCCAAGUUAGGCGGGAGCUAAGGUGAGGCCGAAAGGCGUAGCCGAUGCACAGACGGUAGAGAUUCCGUCCCCACCGAAAGAUUUAAGCGCAGGGACACUUUUAGAAGGUCGGAGCCAGGUGUUGGUUCUGGUAGAGAUCGAGGGAAAAUUAGUACCGAAGUCCGGCUGGAUAAGAGGCGAGAAAAGCUGCGUGUAUAUCUAAGGUGCCCGUACCGCAAACCGACACAGGUAGGUAGGAAGAAGAUUCUAAGGCCAACGGGAGAAGGGUUGUUAAGGAACUCGGCAAGUUGACCCCGUAACUUCGGAAUAAGGGGUGCUCAUGAAAGUGAGCCGCAGAGAAUAGGCCCAGGCAACUGUUUACCAAAAACACAGGUUUGUGCUAAAUCGAAAGAUGACGUAUACGAGCUGACGCCUGCCCGGUGCUGGAAGGUUAAAAGGAGAUGUGCAAGCAUUGAAUUGAAGCCCCAGUGAACGGCGGCCGUAACUAUAACGGUCCUAAGGUAGCGAAAUUCCUUGUCAGGUAAGUUCUGACCCGCAUGAAAGGCGUAAUGAUCUGGGCACUGUCUCAACAGCCCGCCCGGCGAAAUUGUAGUACCGGUGAAGAUGCCGGUUACCCGCGACAAGACGGAAAGACCCCAUGGAGCUUUACUGUAGCCUAAUAUUGGGUUUCGGUGUUGCAUGCACAGGAUAGAUGGGACGCUAGGAAGUGAGUGCUUUGGCAUUCAUGGAGCGGCCGUUGGGAUACCAUCCUUGCGACAUUGGAAUUCUAACCUGCGCCUUUGAAUCAAGGCGGGGGACAUUGUUAGGUGGGCAGUUUGACUGGGGCGGUCGCCUCCUAAAGAGUAGCGGAGGCGUUCAAAGGUUGGCUCGUCCUGGACGGAAACCAGGAGAGAGAGUGCAAACGCAAAAGCCAGCCUGACUGCGAGACUGACGGGUCGAGCAGAGACGAAAGUCGGAGUUAGUGAUCCGGUGGUAUGUGAGUGGAAAUGCCAUCGCUCAACGGAUAAAAGUUACCCUGGGGAUAACAGGCUGAUCUCCCCCAAGAGUCCACAUCGACGGGGAGGUUUGGCACCUCGAUGUCGGCUCAUCGCAUCCUGGGGCUGUAUUCGGUCCCAAGGGUUUGGCUGUUCGCCAAUUAAAGCGGUACGCGAGCUGGGUUCAGAACGUCGUGAGACAGUUCGGUCCCUAUCUGUCGUGGGCGCAGGAUAUUUGAAAGGCGCUGUCCCUAGUACGAGAGGACCGGGAUGGACGAACCUCUGGUGCACCAGUUGUCACGCCAGUGGCACAGCUGGGCAGCUAUGUUCGGAUCGGAUAAACGCUGAAAGCAUCUAAGCGUGAAGCCGGCCUUAAGAUAAGAUAUCCCACUGAGACAAUCAGGUAAGACCCCUUGAAGACUACAAGGUUGAUAGGCACAAUGUGUAAGUGGCGCGAGUCAUUGAGCAAGCGUGUACUAAUAGGUCGAGGGCUUGACCC